Molecule: ribosomal RNA, 458 nt
Filed under: uncultured bacterium
Lineage: Bacteria
Description: bacterial SSU rRNA
Rfam family: Bacterial small subunit ribosomal RNA
Source: RNAcentral
GAACGCUGGCGGCGUGCUUAACACAUGCAAGUCGAACGAGGCCCACCUUUCGGGGUGGUGUUCUAGUGGCGAACGGGUGAGUAACACGUGGGCAACCUGCCCUCAGCUCUGGGAUAACUCCAAGAAAUUGGGGCUAAUCCCGGAUAUGACUGCUGACCGCAUGGUCUGGUGGUGGAAAGAUUUAUCGGCUAGGGAUGGGCCCGCGGCCUAUCAGCUUGUUGGUGGGGUAGUGGCCUACCAAGGCGACGACGGGUAGCCGGCCUGAGAGGGUGACCGACCACACUGGGACUGAGACACGGCCCAGACUCCUACAGGGAGGCAGCAGUGGGGAAUAUUGCGCAAUGGGCGGAAGCCUGACGCAGCGACUGCCGCGCUGGGGGAUGACGGCCUUCGGGUUGUAAACCUCUUUCAGCAGGGACGAAGCGAGAGUGACGGUACCUGCAGAAGAAGCACCGGCC